AUCCAGCUGACGAGUCCCAAAUAGAACGAAGGGCGCGUCUUGGAU
Molecule: non-coding RNA, 45 nt
Organism: Schistosoma mansoni
Lineage: Eukaryota; Metazoa; Platyhelminthes; Trematoda; Strigeidida; Schistosomatidae
Source: Rfam